This 1545-nucleotide long non-coding RNA is filed under the name Helianthus annuus (common sunflower). Its description in RNAcentral is "hypothetical non coding rna". The record is from RNAcentral. Lineage: Eukaryota; Viridiplantae; Streptophyta; Magnoliopsida; Asterales; Asteraceae.
UUGUUUAAACAAUCAUACAUAUUAAUAUAUGAUAAUUAGAGAAGUGAAUGAACAGUGUGUAUAGUCGUGCUUUAUUCUGAGUGAUCUGUUUGGGCGGUCAUCCACCUUAGAGACGCGUGUCUUCCAGCUUUACCAACAUCUCUUUGAAAGUCUCAGACGAGACUUAAAAUGAGAGAAAGGGAAGGAGAUGGGCGGUGACCGGAGUGUUACCACCAUCUCACCACCACUCGCCACUACUCUAAUCAAGGUUUCUAGGGCUUCAGUUCGAUUUGAUUUGUGAUUCAAGGUUUCUAGGACUUCAAUUUCUGAUUCAUGGUUCUAUUACCCAUUGUUGAUGGGUCAGAGGAGAGGAGACGGAAGUUGUCAUGAUAAUUGUUGUUCUUUGACGUGCAAAAGCCGAAGUGUCACCACUGGCGGAUUCAGGCCGUCUUGGCGGUAGCGAUUUUCAACGUAAAACCCUAGCCGACGUUUUAGGCGACGGCGGCCGGGGUUCUUGCGAGGUUUCAGCCUUUCACCUACCUGACGAUGAUGAUGGCUUGCUACCUGGUAUGGCAACUCCGGUUGCAACCAUAGCGCCACUGAGCAGGUUCAACGACGAUGAUGAUCUUAAUUGUUGUUCUUUGACGUGCAAAAGCCGAAGUGUCACCACUGGCGGAUUCAGGCCAUCUUGGCGGCAGCGAUUUUCAACGUAAAACCCUAGCCGACGUUUUAGGCGACAGCGGCCGGGGUUCUUGCGAGGUUUCAUCCUUUCACCUACCUGACGAUGAUGAUGGCUUGCUACCUGGUAUGGCAACUCCGGUUGCAACCAUAGCGCCACUGAGCAGGUUCAACGACGAUGAUGAUCUUUUCGGAUCCGAGUCGAUAUGUGUUGGUUAUGGUAAAAUCGUUUGAGGUUACAGAGUUACCAGCGUCUUCAUAGUCAGAUCCUAGCACGAAAGCAGUGGGUUGUUGCUAGGGCGGAUGAUAUGUUUAUCCGGGUAUACAAUUACAAUAUAAUGGACAAGGUCAAAAGUAUACGAGGCACGCACUGAUCGCACUAUAAAGAUUGCAAAAUCCUUAGCACUUCCGGUUUUACUCGAGCAUGCUCUUCAAGUGAAUAAACUAGCAAGGAGAAACGUAUCAUUUAUGAAGUCUUCUCAGUGACAAUUUGGAAGUUGUGGCCACUGCGUAAUGAAAAGGUAUUUAGAGGAUAGUCACAGCAGAUUAAAAAGGUUCUAGAGGAAAUAAAGGUAGAGACACGAGUGGAUGGAGAGACGAAACAAAAGCGCGGGUCUGUCUUUGGAAAGCUGGACCAGUAGUUUUAGUCGUUUUCUUUGUUGUAUGUACUAUGCUUGUGUGUCUGCUCCUUUUGGUUCUUUAUGUUGGGGUGUAUCAUCUGUCUUAGCUGCUGGCUAAGAUAAGAGUUCGUAUUUUUUUCCAUAUAAUGAAAUUCUCCUUUGCCUGGGAAAAAAAUAGAAAAAAAAUGACUUUUGUUACAAAGUCAACCUAGAAACACAUAGUAGCAUUGAUUUUGCAUACAUGUGACAAAAAUAAAGUUUUGGACUU